RNAcentral lists this ribosomal RNA (460 nucleotides) under uncultured bacterium. RNAcentral describes it as "partial 16S ribosomal RNA". It matches the Rfam family "Bacterial small subunit ribosomal RNA", at positions 338 to 795 of the family's 1533-position model. The record is from RNAcentral.
CCUACUGGGGGCAGCAGUGAGGAAUAUUGGUCAAUGGACGAGAGUCUGAACCAGCCAAGUAGCGUGAAGGAUGACUGCCCUAUGGGUUGUAAACUUCUUUUAUAUGGGAAUAAAAUGUUCCACGUGUGGGAUUUUGUAUGUAACAUAUGAAUAAGGAUCGGCUAACUCCGUGCCAGCAGCCGCGGUAAUACGGAGGAUCCGAGCGUUAUCCGGAUUUAUUGGGUUUAAAGGGAGCGUAGGUGGAUUGUUAAGUCAGUUGUGAAAGUUUGCGGCUCAACCGUAAAAUUGCAGUUGAAACUGGCAGUCUUGAGUACAGUAGAGGUGGGCGGAAUUCGUGGUGUAGCGGUGAAAUGCUUAGAUAUCACGAAGAACUCCGAUUGCGAAGGCAGUUCACUGGACUGCAACUGACACUGAGGCUCGAAAGUGUGGGUAUCAAACAGGAUUAGAUACCCGGGUAGUC